This 816-nucleotide long non-coding RNA is filed under the name Ananas comosus (pineapple). RNAcentral's name for it is "long non-coding RNA (ACOM_LNC010673)". The record is from RNAcentral. Lineage: Eukaryota; Viridiplantae; Streptophyta; Magnoliopsida; Poales; Bromeliaceae.
CUUCUAAGCCUAUUCUAAUUCUAGCACGCUCUUUUGAUCUUUUGAAUCUAAUUUAUUUUUUAUUGGAGAUUUGUGAUUCCGUACUUUUUAGAUGGUCAUCCAUUUUAAAAUUACUCUAAUCCUAAUAUGUUUAAUUCUCUUAACCUAUUGAGCCUAACUACCAUCCAAAAUAAAGAUUUAGAAACUCACAACCAUCUGACAAUAUAAAACUCGUCUUACUAGUCUUAGCUGGCUCGCUCUACUCUCAAGAAAAGUCACCCAUUUUAGAACUACUUCAAUUCCAGCACAUUUAAUCUUUUUAACCUCUUGGCGUAAUUACCGCCCAACAUACUAUAACCGAGUUAAAAGUUUUAGUCAUAUUAUAUCUUAUAUAUAGAAUUACCUAAGCUCUCUCUCACAGAAUACCCUCCUUUAAGCUGUGACGUCAUGUCAGGCUGAAACUUACAAGUAUCAUACGAUGUGAGACUCAUCUCGCUACCUUUAACCAAUCUUGUGAAAAAACCGCACUCUACCGAUAAUAGUCAUCAACAUAAAAAUCUCGCUCCUCCCACUAUAUAAUCUGGUUCAAUAGAUACUUAUUUCACACUUCCAACUGGUUACUGGCUCUGAUACCAACUGUGACGCUCCACUUUCCAUGAAGUCAUCCAUCCUAGAACUACUUUAGCCCUAUUACACUUAUCUCUGUUAACCUCUUGAGCCUAACUACUGCCCAAUAUAUUAUAGUCGGGUUAAGAGUUUAAUCCUAUUAUAUCUUAUAUAGAGGACUCUAUGGAGUCUCACAAAGUUUUUGUAUUUAGUGAGAACGUUUAAUAAAUA